CCCUUAGAUGUUCUGGGCCGCACGCGCGCUACACUGACGAAGUCAGCGAGCAUGUCCUACGCCGACAGGUGCGGGGAAUCUUGUCAAACUUCGUCGGGAUGGGGAUUGAUUUUUGAAAUUCUUGAUCAUAAACGAGGAAUUCCUAGUAAGCGCAAGUCAGCAGCUUGCGUUGAUUACGUCCCUGCCCUUUGUACACACCGCCCGUCGCUACUACCGAUUGAAUGGUUUAGUGAGAUCUUCGGAUUGGCGCCACUGCAGCUCAGCAAUGGGCUUGGUGGAUGCCGAAAAGUUGAUCAAACUUGAUCAUUUAGAGGAAGUAAAAGUCGUAACA
Molecule: ribosomal RNA, 331 nt
Filed under: uncultured eukaryote
Lineage: Eukaryota
Description: partial 18S ribosomal RNA
Rfam family: Eukaryotic small subunit ribosomal RNA
Source: RNAcentral